Molecule: long non-coding RNA, 1182 nt
Organism: Felis catus (domestic cat)
Lineage: Eukaryota; Metazoa; Chordata; Mammalia; Carnivora; Felidae
Exons: 3
Source: RefSeq, a predicted model, not a curated record
CCCCGCCUCGGGAGGGGACACUUACUGAGUCUCAACUGGACCUGACCUCUGGGGACAUUUCUUAAAGCAGAGAGAACAGGAGCCCCUCAGUCACCAAGACAGCUUUGGAACCGGUGGCCCCGGAGCCAAGCUCUAUUCUGGACAGAGCACUUGCCCUAUGGAAAGGGCUAGAAACAAAUCUGCCACUCCUGGGGAGCCAGGGGCACAGGAGGAAGGACGUCUGGCAGACUUUCCCGGCAGGCAGGGAUGAGGGGCUGCCUGGUUAAAAUAGUAACUGCCGAAGGUGACAGUGACAUAAUCCAUGUGUGCAGCCACCCUGGGGGCAUUCUGGGUUCUCCACCUCUGCUCUGGCUAAGAGUGGGCCUGAUGAUGAUUUUCGCACCCCGUCUAGUUCUAUCUAGAACCAAAGCCUAAGCGUUUUGCUGGGUUCCUGUUCACUAAUGCACGCGCUUACGUUUGAACUGAACUUGUCAAAAAUACGCCUUUGUGUCUUCUUUAUUAUCAUCUUUGUAGUUUUCAGGAUGACCAUCGGGUCUUUGUCCGUAUAGGCACAACUGGCAGAUUCCAAGCACACCUACAAAGGACGACCUGAAACCCGUGAUCUUUAUGCCAGCUGAAGUCAGCAUCCCAUCCAGGCUACGGGCAUGGCGGCUUUCCCUCUCUCCCGGCGGCAAAUUUAAGUCUGCUGGUCCCCAAGCACCGUGAAAUGAGGUGUGGGGACCCCGGAGCGUUUCAAACAAAUCCCUCAGGAAGCUCAUCAGAGAGAAGAUCAAUGAGAAUGGGCUUCGGGUCCGUGCCAGCGUGUUGGGUGACAACCCAAAGCCACUUCACCAUGGACCCUGUGCCUGAUAACUUGUAGCAGUGCUCACACUAGGUGACGGAGUACACGGUCUGCCCUACGAUUAUCUCAUUUGAAUCUCGCCACAGCACCGCAAGGAAGGUACCUACUCUCACCAUCAUUUUGCAUAAGGGGAAACCGAGGCACAAAAAGGUCAAAGGUCAAGCAGUGAGAUCAAGUGAUCAAGCCCAGACAUUCUGUUUCCAGAAUGUACACGCUUUAUCCAUUUCACAUCGUAUCCUGGGGCUCCUGGGUAGCUUAGUCGUUUAAGCAUCUGCCUCUUGAUUUUGGCUCAGGUCACGUCUCACGGUUCGUGGGAUCAAGCCCCACGUUUGGCUCCAUGC